UACAGAGGUCUCAAGCGUUGUUCGGAUCCAUUGGGCGUAAAGGGUGUGUAGGUGGCGCGCUAAGUCGGGUGUGAAAUUUCGGAGCUUAACUCCGAAACUGCAUUCGAUACUGGCGUGCUUGAGGACUGGAGAGGAGACUGGAAUUCAUGGUGUAGCAGUGAAAUGCGUAGAGAUCAUGAGGAAGACCAGUGGCGAAGGCGGGUCUCUGGACAGUUCCUGACACUGAGACACGAAGGCCAGGGGAGCAAACGGG
This 253-nucleotide ribosomal RNA is filed under the name uncultured bacterium. RNAcentral's name for it is "partial 16S ribosomal RNA". It matches the Rfam family "Bacterial small subunit ribosomal RNA", at positions 524 to 776 of the family's 1533-position model. The record is from RNAcentral.